AUUGAACGCUGGCGGCAGGCCUAACACAUGCAAGUCGAACGGUAACAGGAAGAAGCUUGCUUCUUUGCUGACGAGUGGCGGACGGGUGAGUAAUGUCUGGGAAACUGCCUGAUGGAGGGGGAUAACUACUGGAAACGGUAGCUAAUACCGCAUAACGUCGCAAGACCAAAGAGGGGGACCUUCGGGCCGCUUGCCAUCGGAUGUGCCCAGAUGGUAUUAGCUAGUAGGUGGGGUAACGGCUCACCUAGGCGACGAUCCCUAGCUGGUCUGAGAGGCUGACCAGCCGCCCUGGAACUGAGCCACGCACCAUACUCCUACGGGAGGCCGCAGUGGGGAAUAUUGGACAAUGGGCGGAAGCAUGAUGCAGCCAUGCCGCGUGUAUGAAGAAGGCGUUCGGGUUGUAAAGUACUCCCAGCGGGGAGGAAGCGAGUACAGUUAAUACGUUGCCUCAUUGACGUUACCCGCGAAAGAAGCACCGGCUAACUCCGUG
This 490-nucleotide ribosomal RNA is filed under the name uncultured bacterium. RNAcentral's name for it is "partial 16S ribosomal RNA". It matches the Rfam family "Bacterial small subunit ribosomal RNA", at positions 30 to 507 of the family's 1533-position model. The record is from RNAcentral.